Non-coding RNA from Camelina sativa (false flax), 541 nucleotides. The record is from RefSeq and is a predicted model, not a curated record. Lineage: Eukaryota; Viridiplantae; Streptophyta; Magnoliopsida; Brassicales; Brassicaceae.
CCUCUCCACGAUACUCCUCAACGGACGACGGCGCUGUGGACCUGAAGCGUCUCUUCCCUUCUCAUUCUUUCAAGAGCAGCCUUUUGCAGAUUGGUCUAUUAAGCAGACAUAGUAUAUCUAUUAACAUUGGGUGGAAAUAUUCUGAUCAUCUUCGUUGUAUUUUUGUUUAAUGGAUUUUUUGUUCAUGUUUAUUUUUCCUUCUUAUUUCGUAGUCUAAUCUUGAUUCCGUAUUUUUUGGUUUGUAGGAAGGAAAUUCGUGACUCAACAAGCUCCAUGACAUCAGUCCCAAAACCCCUCAAGUUUCUCCGUCCUCAUUAUGGAACUCUCAAGGAAUUUCAUGUAACAAUGUCGGAGUCUGAUCUCAAAAAAAUGUUGGCUGAUAUACUUUCUGUCUCCUGAAGGUGAAAGGGUUAACUGGAUCAGAGGGUGACAUUGGAUCGUGGGGCCAUGAGUAUGUCAGGAAUUUGGCCGGAGAGAUUGCAGAAGAGUAUACCAUGCAUCAGGUUAGAAAACAAUUUGGUCUUUGAAACAUGUUGUAAGG